AGGAGUGUAAGGCUAUGCUCUCUUCUGCCAGGGAUGCCAAACCUAGAGCCUCAGGGUCCUUUAAAUAGUGUCAGACGUGUCCCAAAGUGCGGCUCGGUCCAAAAGAAUCAAAUCAGAGCAGAAUCAGGGCUCGAGCGUGAAUUGAGGUUCAUGUGAGGCUUAGGCGCCAGUUUUGGACGCCUAAGCUUCGGGCGUCCGUCGCCCGGGCGAUCGACGUUGAUCUGGGAUGCACUGUUUUUUGUUCCUGUUGCUUGGGCUUCGGGUUUUCCC
RNAcentral lists this long non-coding RNA (270 nucleotides) under Vigna radiata. RNAcentral describes it as "long non-coding RNA (VRAD_LNC008509)". Lineage: Eukaryota; Viridiplantae; Streptophyta; Magnoliopsida; Fabales; Fabaceae. The record is from RNAcentral.